RNAcentral lists this long non-coding RNA (285 nucleotides) under Mytilus galloprovincialis (Mediterranean mussel). The record is from RNAcentral. Lineage: Eukaryota; Metazoa; Mollusca; Bivalvia; Mytilida; Mytilidae.
AAAAAAUCGUAUUUUAUAAAUAACAUACCGAAAAGAUCAUUCAAAUUACAAAAAGUCCAAAGAUUUGUACAAUUAACAUAGCAUGGAGCGUUAAUUUUUAAGCAUUUCUUACUAUUUGUCUUUAUCAGAAGCCAUCUAAUUAUCCAUUGAGAUGACCUCCAACGACUGCCGACGGUCACACAACACGACAUAACAUAUAUAAAUACUUUUAUACAUUGCGACUUGGAUGGAGAGUUCUCUCAUUGACACUCAUAUCACAUAUUCUUAUAUCUAUGUAGACAAAAA